UACGUAGGGCGCAAGCGUUGUCCGGAAUUAUUGGGCGUAAAGAGCUCGUAGGCGGUUUGUCGCGUCUGUCGUGAAAGCUUGGGGCUUAACCCCAAGUCUGCGGUGGAUACGGGCAGACUAGAGGCAGGUAGGGGAGAACGGAAUUCCCGGUGUAGCGGUGAAAUGCGCAGAUAUCGGGAGGAACACCGGUGGCGAAAGCGGCUCUCUGGAACGGUACUGACGCUGAGACGCGAAAGCGUGGGGAGCGAACAGG
RNAcentral lists this ribosomal RNA (253 nucleotides) under uncultured bacterium. RNAcentral's name for it is "partial 16S ribosomal RNA". It matches the Rfam family "Bacterial small subunit ribosomal RNA", at positions 524 to 776 of the family's 1533-position model. The record is from RNAcentral.